UCCUGGCUCACGAUGAACGCUGGCGGCGUGCCUAAUAACGUUAAAUCGAACGCGCAGCGAGAGGUGCUUGCACCUUUCAACUUUAAAAAGAACGGGUGAGUAACACGUGGAUAACCUGCCUCAAGGCUGGGGAUAACAUUUGGAAACAGAUGCNNNNACCGAAUAAAACUUAGUAUCGCAUGAUAUCAAGUUAAAAGGCGCUACGGCGUCACCUAGAGAUGGAUCCGCGGUGCAUUAGUUAGUUGGUGGGGUAAAGGCUUACCAAGACAAUGAUGCAUAGCCGAGUUGAGAGACUGAUCGGCCACAUUGGGACUGAGACACGGCCCAAACUCCUACGGGAGGCUGCAGUAGGGAAUCUUCCACAAUGGGCGCAAGCCUGAUGGAGCAACGCCGCGUGUGUGAUGAAGGCUUUCGGGUCGUAAAGCACUGUUGUAUGGGAAGAAAUGCUAAAAUAGGGAAUGAUUUUAGUUUGACGGUACCAUACCACAAAGGGACGGCUAAAUACGUGCCAACAGCCGCGGUAAUACGUAUGUACCGAGCGUUAUCCGGAUUGAUUGGGCGUAAAGCGAGCGCACACGGUUGAUUAAGUGUGAUGUGAAAGCCCGGAGCGCAACUCCGGAAUG
Molecule: ribosomal RNA, 623 nt
Filed under: uncultured bacterium
Lineage: Bacteria
Description: bacterial SSU rRNA
Rfam family: Bacterial small subunit ribosomal RNA
Source: RNAcentral